CCUACGGGAGGCAGCAGUAGGGAAUAUUGCUCAAUGGGCGAAAGCCUGAAGCAGCCACGCCGCGUGGAGGAUGACGGUCUUCGGAUUGUAAAACCCUUUUGUUAGAGAAGAAAAUGACGGUAUGUAACGAAUUAUCACUGGACAAUAUCGUGCAAGCAGCCCAGGUACUACGGAGGGUGCAAGCGUUACUCGGAAUCACUGGGCGUAAAGCGCGCGUAGUCGGGAUAGCAAGUCAGUUGGGAAAGCCUAUGGCUUAACCGUAGAACUGCAUUUGAAACUGUGAGUCUAGAGUUUAGGAGAGGUAGGUGGAAUUCUUGGUGUAGCGGUGAAAUGCGUAGAGAUCAAGAGGAAUACUCAGUGCGAAGGCGGCCUGCUGGAACGUAACUGACGCUGAUGCUCGAAAGCGUGGGUAGCAAACAGGAUUAGAUACCCCGGUAGUC
RNAcentral lists this ribosomal RNA (440 nucleotides) under uncultured bacterium. RNAcentral's name for it is "partial 16S ribosomal RNA". It matches the Rfam family "Bacterial small subunit ribosomal RNA", at positions 338 to 795 of the family's 1533-position model. The record is from RNAcentral.